UGGGGAAUAUUGCACAAUGGGCGAAAGCCUGAUGCAGCAACGCCGCGUGAGGGACGACGGCCUUCGGGUUGUAAACCUCUUUUAGCAAGGAAGAAGCGAAAGUGACGGUACUUGCAGAAAAAAGCGCCGGCUAACUACGUGCCAGCAGCCGCGGUAAUACGUAGGGCGCAAGCGUUAUCCGGAAUUAUUGGGCGUAAAGAGCUCGUAGGCGGUCUGUCGCGUCUGCUGUGAAAACCCGAGGCUCAACCUCGGGCCUGCAGUGGGUACGGGCAGACUAGAGUGCGGUAGGGGGAGAUUGGAACUCCUGGGUGUAGCGGUGGAAUGCGCAGAUAUCAGGAAGAACACCGAUGGCGAAGGCAGAUCUCUGGGCCCGUAACUGACGCUGAGGAGC
Molecule: ribosomal RNA, 391 nt
Filed under: uncultured bacterium
Lineage: Bacteria
Description: partial 16S ribosomal RNA
Rfam family: Bacterial small subunit ribosomal RNA
Source: RNAcentral